This 414-nucleotide ribosomal RNA is filed under the name uncultured microorganism. RNAcentral's name for it is "bacterial SSU rRNA". It matches the Rfam family "Archaeal small subunit ribosomal RNA", at positions 459 to 872 of the family's 1478-position model. The record is from RNAcentral.
CAGCAGCCGCGGUAAUACCGGCGGCCCGAGUGGCGGUCACUAUUAUUGGGCUUAAAGCGUCCGUAGCCGGGUUGGGAAGUCCUCCGGGAAAUCUGGCCGCUUAACGGUCAGAAUGCCGGAGGAUACUCCCAGCCUAGGGAGCGGGAGAGGCCGAGGGUAUUCCCGGAGUAGGGGUGAAAUCCUAUAAUCCCGGGAGGGCCACCUGUGGCGAAGGCGCUCGGCUGGAACGCGUCCGACGGUGAGGGACGAAGGCCAGGGGAGCAAACCGGAUUAGAUACCCGGGUAGUCCUGGCUGUAAACGAUGCGGACUUUGUGUCGGACAAGCUAUGAGCUUGUCCGGUGCCGGAGGGAAACCGUUAAGUCCGCCGCCUGGGGAGUACGGCCGCAAGGCUGAAACUUAAAGGAAUUGGCGGG